This 229-nucleotide ribosomal RNA is filed under the name uncultured Bifidobacteriales bacterium. Its description in RNAcentral is "partial 16S ribosomal RNA". It matches the Rfam family "Bacterial small subunit ribosomal RNA", at positions 104 to 334 of the family's 1533-position model. Lineage: Bacteria; Bacillati; Actinomycetota; Actinomycetes; Bifidobacteriales. The record is from RNAcentral.
GGGUGAGUAAUGCGUGACCGACCUGCCCCAUGCUCCGGAAUAGCUCCUGGAAACGGGUGGUAAUGCCGGAUGUUCCACAUGAUCGCAUGUGAUUGUGGGAAAGAUUUCAUCGGCGUGGGAUGGGGUCGCGUCCUAUCAGCUUGUUGGUGAGGUAACGGCUCACCAAGGCUUCGACGGGUAGCCGGCCUGAGAGGGCGACCGGCCACAUUGGGACUGAGAUACGGCCCAG